CCUUCUGUCAUUCCAGCUUCACUUCUUUGCCACUCAUCAUUAUCACUGUCAAUAUUUAGCAGGUCAAACCUAUUCUGCUCAGAACGUCUCCGAAGCAUGAAUACAUUGAAAUAAUAACUGACAAGCUCCCUUUUUGUUUGGCCAGGGAACACUGCUGGCAGAUGAUCCCAAAAGUUCUUGCCCAACGAUGCAGGGUUUGAUAGGACUACAUCAUGGAAGAGUUGCUCCUCCUCUUCAGUCCAUUUCUUUCCUACAUCUUCCCCCAUAUCAUAAAAACCCAGCCCAUCAAAUAUCUCCUCCCCAAGGUUCUCCCUAAGUUUCUGCCUAGCUUCCAUGAUGUGCUGUUUUACACAUUCAAUAGAUCCCUGAUCAAGGCAACUACAGUCAGUUUUGGUGCCUUCGCAGCAAUGGGUUACAGAUGCUUCCAAAUCAGGCAUAGGAAUAACACAAACACCCGUCAGCCUCUCCUCAUAACCAUCAUGAACUAGGAUACUGGGGCUAGAUGAUUGUGCAAGCACAACUUGGGGAUUAGACUUAUCUAGCUGAUUAGAAGAGGUGUUUGGACCCUCCCACUCUGGAACAAAAGCUUNNNNNNNNUCUGGACCAAUUGAAACUGGCUUCCAAAAAGGAUAGUCGAAAGAUGAGAACACCUCAUCAGGCUGAAGUAGCGCCCUUAGCUGGUGUCCAUGAUCAAAAUAUUCAGGGAAAAAUGAGAGAUUAUCUGCUUCAAGAAUUCCGUUGUUGAUCCAUAAAAAAUGAGGAAAACAGCCAGAAGCACCACUUUCAAAGUUGUUAAUGUCAUUGGAAACUGCUACGACUGAAUCAUUUGCAGACCUCCCAAUAUGUUGACAGUUACUAAGAAUGUUAUCAUCUGAAGUUGUAGUUUUCGGAUGAGAAUCAUCAAGAAAAGCCAUUGGAGCAAGUUGAUCAAUGUGUUCCAGGUGUCUACGGUGCUUGCAAGCAACCUCAUAAGAAUCAUCAUCAACAAAAGGCCGUUUGUGAAUCAUUUUUUACCUAAAGAAUAGCCGACCAAAAAUGAUAAAAUCACAGGAUCGACGAUAAGACGAUGAAGUUGAACAAUACACAAACCCCAGUUAACAAAAUCAAAAUUCUAGAUCCCUAAUUUUUGUUACAAUUAAACACCAGUUUCCAGCAAAUUAAAACACAUACAAGGAUGUCACUCUGUGUAGAAAAAUUA
This 1198-nucleotide unclassified non-coding RNA is filed under the name Hevea brasiliensis (rubber tree). Lineage: Eukaryota; Viridiplantae; Streptophyta; Magnoliopsida; Malpighiales; Euphorbiaceae. The record is from RNAcentral.